AUUCUAUUUGAAUAAGGUAAGAAUCUGAGCUUUGGCUCAACUAUAU
This 46-nucleotide small RNA is filed under the name Ciona intestinalis (vase tunicate). Lineage: Eukaryota; Metazoa; Chordata; Ascidiacea; Phlebobranchia; Cionidae. The record is from RNAcentral.